UUGCACGUAACGUCGUGACUGCGUGCCUUUUGAAGAAUGAGCCUGCGAGUUUGCGGCAUGUUGCGAGGUUAACCCGUGUGGGGGAGCCGUAGCGAAAGCGAGUCCGAAGAGGGCGUUUGAGUAGCGUGUUCAAGACCCGAAGCGGAGUGAUCUAGCCAUGGGCAGGGUGAAGCGCGGGUAAGACCGUGUGGAGGCCCGAACCCACCAGGGUUGAAAACCUGGGGGAUGACCUGUGGUUAGGGGUGAAAGGCCAAUCAAACUCCGUGAUAGCUGGUUCUCCCCGAAAUGCAUUUAGGUGCAGCGUCGUGUGUUUCUUGCCGGAGGUAGAGCACUGGAUAGGCGAUGGGCCCUACCGGGUUACUGACCUUAGCCAAACUCCGAAUGCCGGUAAGUGAGAGCGCGGCAGUGAGACUGUGGGGGAUAAGCUCCAUGGUCGAGAGGGAAACAGCCCAGAGCAUCGACUAAGGCCCCUAAGCGUGUGCUAAGUGGGAAAGGAUGUGGAGUCGCAGAGACAACCAGGAGGUUGGCUUAGAAGCAGCCAUCCUUGAAAGAGUGCGUAAUAGCUCACUGGUCAAGUGAUUCCGCGCCGAUAAUGUAGCGGGGCUCAAGUACACCGCCGAAGUCGUGUCACUC
RNAcentral lists this ribosomal RNA (633 nucleotides) under Streptomyces nanshensis. Its description in RNAcentral is "bacterial LSU rRNA". It matches the Rfam family "Bacterial large subunit ribosomal RNA", at positions 577 to 1210 of the family's 2925-position model. The record is from RNAcentral. Lineage: Bacteria; Bacillati; Actinomycetota; Actinomycetes; Kitasatosporales; Streptomycetaceae.